UUCUCUAAUGUUAACCGUACAUGUACACUAGCACUUCACAAUAUACAGAGUCUGAAAGCUCACUUUCAAGAUAUUUCUUCCCAUAAAACUCUAAUGAAAGCUGAUUGUAUUUGCCUAACUGAAACAUGGCUCAAUGUAGGCACUGAAGAAUUACCAGAACUUCCAGGAUUUCGCUUCAACCACAAUCCAAGAGCAAACUGUUACGAUGACACAGAGCCCCUCUUUACAGAACUGAAACAACAACAAAGAGGUGGAGUUGCUGUUAAAGGUUAUCUGUGAACUUGAGAAGCAUCCAGGGAAGAGAGUUAUCAUGGGAGACUUUAAUGAGGAUGUCUUUGUAUCAUCUACAAUUCUAAAGUUAAUGGAACAACAUGGAUACACUCAACAUGUCCAAGCAGCAACAACUGAAAAAGGUACGCUAAUAGACCAUGUAUACAUUAAAGGCACAGAAGAUGUUAUUGUUGAAGUUGUACAGACAUACUACAGUUUUCAUGAAGCAAUACUUAUUUCCCUCAUGUAAUAUGUUCAUAAUUGAUCUGUAAGAUAUUGACCAUUAAGAUACUUUCUGUAUGUGUUUUAUAUAGGAUCAUUUACAUAUAAGAUUACGUCAAAUACCGUCCACAUAGUCUUGGGUGGGAAUGGGGGUGGUUGCAAGGAGAGCAUAACAUUGGACGGCUCCUUAAGGGGAUGGGAUGGGUAUAUAUAACAGACACAGGGAAUUAAAUUAGUCAUUCAUUGAGACAGUCAAAAUAUUACUUUCUUUUAAAUUCUUUUUUUUUAUACAAUGCAAUGUUAAAUUGUACAUAGUUAUUGUGUUUUAUUAAGAAUGUUAAACUAGACUUGAAAUACAUUUCUUAGAGUUAACUUUUAAUUUAAUGUAUUCUUCCAAAAGAUUUUGGAAGAGUUUACUUUUUUAUUAUUUUUAUUAGAUUUUUCUCCAACAUCUUACUAAAUAUUACAAUUGAAUUUGUGAAAUUAACCACAUAAAUAUGGAUUGGAAAUUAUGUCAUGGUUGUAUUUGGGCUACAAGACAUUUCAGUUCAGUAAACAUUGGACCUUCUGAACCCUGAGAAGACAGCAGACAGAGCAACGCGAGUCAUGAGAUCUCCAGAAAGACACCUAGAGUUUGGAUGACCGCACAAUUUUCUCAACCAUACAAUGGUGCUUCUGGAGUAAAGAUGUGGUCAACGUCAUCUUUGUCAGCAUUGAACAGCCACAGUCUGAACAUUUAGCCCCUAAAUCUGGCAAUCUCUUCAUAGACUUCAUUCACUUUAAAGAAGGAGUGAAAACAACCAAAUACACUGGAAUCAAAAGUUGCAAAGCUUGCAAUCGUUUGUAUGUGUUUACUGUUAAUGUUGUUUUCCUAUCUCUAAAAAGAAGCAAUCAUGUGGGGAAUUAUUUCUCAAAAUGUCUCUGAAUGGCAAAUGACUGAUAUGAGUGAUAGUUUAGUGUAAGAAACCACUGUACUUGUCAAAUGUCUUGUAUUUUGGAUGGUCUUACACUAGGCGGUAUUGUAAUGUGCCUAGAAGGUGAUCAUGCUUUCCCAUGCCUCAGUGAUGAUAAGAAGGUUCAUGUAGGUUGGCUGUUUCUCAACGGGUAGAGAGGAUCCUCCAGUAACCAUAAGGUUGGCGGUUUGACACAAGACUCCUUCUGUCUAACUGUCCUUCAGCAAGACACAACACCAGUAGCUCCUGAUGGGCUUGCAAGCACCUUGCAUGGCAGCUCCACUGCUGUGUGUGUGUCUAACCUAAUCUGACCUAAAUGAUUUGACCCUUGACUACAUCAUUUGCACUGUCUCAUUGAUGAAAUAUCGAUAGGCUACUAUAUAUAACAAGAAAAAUGAUAUUUAAUAUUGUGAUAUUUUACUGUCAUAUCUUUUUUUAAUGUUUAUUUUAUUUUCCCAAUAAAUACAU
This is a long non-coding RNA of Hypomesus transpacificus, 1913 nucleotides long. RefSeq lists it as uncharacterized. The transcript has 3 exons. The record is from RefSeq and is a predicted model, not a curated record. NCBI's taxonomy places the organism in Eukaryota, Metazoa, Chordata, Actinopteri, Osmeriformes, Osmeridae.